GAGGAGCCCGCGGCUGAUUAGCUAGUUGGCGAGGUAAUGGCUCACCAAGGCAACGAUCAGUAUCCGGUCUGAGAGGACGGUCGGACACACUGGAACUGAGACACGGUCCAGACUCCUACGGGAGGCAGCAGUGGGGAAUUUUUGGCAAUGGGGGCAACCCUGACCAAGCAACGCCGCGUGGGUGAUGAAGUCUCUUGGGACGUAAAACCCUUUCGACGGGGAAGAAACCGCAAGGUUGACGGUACCCGUAGAAGAAGCCCCGGCUAACUCCGUGCCAGCAGCCGCGGUAAUACGGGGGGGGCAAGCGUUGUUCGGAAUUACUGGGCGUAAAGGGCGCGUAGGCGGUUCGUUAAGUCGGAUGUGAAAACUCUGGGCUCAACCCAGAGCCUGCAUCCGAAACUGGCGGGCUAGAGUUCUGGAGGGGGUAGCGGAAUUCCUGGUGUAGCGGUGAAAUGCGUAGAUAUCAGGAGG
This 471-nucleotide ribosomal RNA is filed under the name uncultured Acidobacteriota bacterium. RNAcentral's name for it is "bacterial SSU rRNA". It matches the Rfam family "Bacterial small subunit ribosomal RNA", at positions 224 to 704 of the family's 1533-position model. The record is from RNAcentral. Lineage: Bacteria; Pseudomonadati; Acidobacteriota.